Molecule: signal recognition particle RNA, 325 nt
Filed under: Saimiri boliviensis boliviensis (Bolivian squirrel monkey)
Lineage: Eukaryota; Metazoa; Chordata; Mammalia; Primates; Cebidae
Description: Metazoan signal recognition particle RNA (ENSSBOG00000004944.1)
Rfam family: Metazoan signal recognition particle RNA
About the family: The signal recognition particle (SRP) is a universally conserved ribonucleoprotein. It is involved in the co-translational targeting of proteins to membranes.
Source: RNAcentral
GCGGGGCACGGUGGCUCAUGCCAGUAAUCCCAGAGGCCGAGGUGGGCAGAUCAUGAGGUCAACAGAUCAAGACCAUCCUGGCCAACAUGGCGAAGCCUGGUCUCUACUGAAAAUUCAAACAUUGCCGGGCGCGGUGGUACACUAAGUUUGGCAUCAAUAUGGUGACCUCCCGGGAGUGGGGGACCACCAGGUUGUCUAAAGAGGGGUGAACCGGCCCAGGUCUGAAAUGGAGCAGGUCAAAACUCCCAUGAUGAUCAGUAGUGGGAUCGCACCCGUGAGUAGCCACUGCACUCCAGCCUGGGCAACAUAGCAUGACCCCGUCUCU